UACGUAGGUGGCGAGCGUUGUCCGGAUUUACUGGGCGUAAAGAGCGCGCAGGCGGCUGGUCAAGUCCGAUGUGAAAGCUCCCGGCUUAACUGGGAAAUUGCAUCGGAAACUGAUCGGCUGGAAGGUGGGAGAGGGUAGCGGAAUUCCCGGUGUAGUGGUGAAAUGCGUAGAUAUCAGGAGGAACACCAAUGGCGAAGGCAGCUCGCUGGGACGUGACUGACGCUGAGACGCGAAAGCGUGGGGAGCAAACAGG
Molecule: ribosomal RNA, 253 nt
Filed under: uncultured bacterium
Lineage: Bacteria
Description: partial 16S ribosomal RNA
Rfam family: Bacterial small subunit ribosomal RNA
Source: RNAcentral